AUACGAAAAGGGCAAAUUCAUUGAAAAAUGAAGACGCAAAGCUAUAGGGACUAACGUGUUGCCAACACUAUGUCAGCCAGUUACCGAU
This 88-nucleotide non-coding RNA is filed under the name Heyndrickxia ginsengihumi. Its description in RNAcentral is "Bacillus ginsengihumi c-di-GMP sequence". It matches the Rfam family "c-di-GMP-I riboswitch aptamer". Rfam says of the family: GEMM was predicted in a large-scale screen for bacterial structured RNA regulatory elements. Genes associated with GEMM are involved in a diverse array of functions, including chemotaxis regulation, signal transduction, secretion and chitin. The record is from Rfam by way of RNAcentral. Lineage: Bacteria; Bacillati; Bacillota; Bacilli; Caryophanales; Bacillaceae.